Molecule: ribosomal RNA, 453 nt
Filed under: uncultured bacterium
Lineage: Bacteria
Description: bacterial SSU rRNA
Rfam family: Bacterial small subunit ribosomal RNA
Source: RNAcentral
AUUGAACGCUGGCGGAAUGCUUUACACAUGCAAGUCGAGCGGCAGCGCGGGGCAACCUGGCGGCGAGCGGCGAACGGGUGAGUAAUACAUCGGAACGUGCCCAGACGUGGGGGAUAACUACUCGAAGAGUGGCUAAUACCGCAUACGAUCUACGGAUGAAAGCGGGGGGAUCGCAAGACCUCGCGCGUCUGGAGCGGCUGAUGGCAGAUUAGGUAGUUGGUGGGAUAAAAGACCUACCAAGCCAACGAUCUGUAGCUGGUCUGAGAGGAUGAUCAGCCACACUGGGACUGAGACACGGCCCAGACUCCUACGGGAGGCAGCAGUGGGGAAUUUUGGACAAUGGGCGAAAGCCUGAUCCAGCCAUUCCGCGUGCAGGAUGAAGGCCCUCGGGUUGUAAACUGCUUUUGUACAGAACGAAAAAGACUCUGGCUAAUACCUGGAGUCCAUGACGGU